AAUAUUAUUACAAAAUCCCGACGUAUAAUCUUGGAGAUAUGGUCCAUAAGUUUCUACCAAACUACCGUAAAUGGUUUGACUACGAGAGGGGUUUGAGACCUG
Molecule: non-coding RNA, 102 nt
Filed under: Pontibacillus yanchengensis
Lineage: Bacteria; Bacillati; Bacillota; Bacilli; Caryophanales; Bacillaceae
Also listed under: 1 other name
Description: Guanine sequence
Rfam family: Purine riboswitch aptamer
About the family: Riboswitches are metabolite binding domains within certain messenger RNAs that serve as precision sensors for their corresponding targets. Allosteric rearrangement of mRNA structure is mediated by ligand binding, and this results in modulation of gene expression. A class of riboswitches that selectively recognises guanine and becomes saturated at concentrations as low as 5 nM.
Source: RNAcentral